GACGAACGCUGGCGGUGCGCCUUAUGCAUGCACGUCGAGCGAAGCUUUUCAGUAGUUUACUACAGAAAAUGACUGAGCGGCGAACGGGUGAGUAACGCGUGAGCAAUCUACCUUAGUUACAGGGAUAGCCCGAGGAAACUCGGAUUAAUACCUGAUAUUCUUUAAAUUUCGCAUGAAAUUAAAAGGAAAGGUCAGCCGAACUAAGAUGAGCUCGCGUUCUAUCAGCUAGUUGGUGAGGUAAAAGCUCACCAAGGCUACGACGGAUAGCUGGUCUGAGAGGACGAUCAGCCACACUGGGACUGAGACACGGCCCAGACUCCUACGGGAGGCUGCAGCAGGGAAUAUUGCGCAAUGAGCGAAAGCUUGACGCAGCGACACCGCGUGUGGGAUGACGGAUCUAGGUUUGUAAACCACUUUCAGGAGGGAAGAAAAUGACGGUACCUCCACAAGAAGCCCCGGCCAACUACGUG
Molecule: ribosomal RNA, 470 nt
Filed under: uncultured bacterium
Lineage: Bacteria
Description: bacterial SSU rRNA
Rfam family: Bacterial small subunit ribosomal RNA
Source: RNAcentral